This is a long non-coding RNA of Pan paniscus (pygmy chimpanzee), 1068 nucleotides long. Lineage: Eukaryota; Metazoa; Chordata; Mammalia; Primates; Hominidae. The record is from Ensembl.
CAUAUUUUGUAUUAGCUCAUACAUAAUUAUUUCUUUGUAUGUAGCUCAUACAUAUUUGUAUGUAGCUCAUACAUACUGUAUUUCUUUGUUUGUAUUAUAUAUAUAUAAUUAUUUCUUUGUAUGUAGCUCAUAUUCACUUGAAGAGUCUAUGGAGUGGAAUAAAACAAUGUUCACAAUCGGUGGUAGUUUUUAUUGCCUGUAAAGAGAAUGCAAUGAUUUCAUAUUAAUUUUUGAGAUAUGGAAUAUUUUAAGGAAUGUAAGAUAAACAUUGAAAUAUCAUGUGUGAAGAUUAUGAAAAUGUAAUUGCUGUGUAAUAAUAACAUGACUCCCUUGCACAUGCUGUCCUGGAUAAGGUGGUAAGGUUCUCUACAAUCUUGUACACUCUUCAUUAGAAGUUUCACACUAGGUGGGAAUGCAUAUCCUGGACGCUGGGCAAAUAUUGGUCUUCAGUUUUAGGCAGUAUUCAGAUAGAUAUUGGAAGUCAAGAUUUAUUUAUAUACUUUUAAAAGUUGGAAUCUCAAUGGAUUAUUUUUAAUUAAAAUUUAACUGAGAACAUUUUCCCUUUCUUAUGCAGGGAAAUCAGAGGACUCAGGCAGUUCAUGGAGGCAGCAGGAAUGUUGUUAUUUCAAGGAUUUGAUGUACUAUUUUACUUUUCUGUCCAGAAGUGCUUUAGCAAACACCAAGGAAUCAUAUCAAAAUAUUUGAAGAUUAUGGGAAAAGAGAAGAAAUAAAGAAAAAUAAAACAACAUUCAAGAAGACUGCGGGUUUGAACUUUGUGGAAAAAAAGUGAGCUUUGAAGAAGAAUAUGGUUUACAUGUCUUUGUUUUCCAAACUAGAAAUGUUAACCCUAAUACAGUACAUAUACUACAAUCUAACCCAUAAAACUAUGAAAGAAAAACAAGUGUAAAUUCAAUAACAAUAAAUAAAUGAAUGUCAAGUGUAGCCAUGGCACACAUUAAUACUAUGAUGGUUUGGUAAUUUUGUUCAAAUACACUUUCUCAAUGACAAGAAAUCCAUCACAUUGAUGAGGUUUACUAUCCUUUGUGCUCUAUUCUUUCUAGCUGUGAC